Molecule: ribosomal RNA, 392 nt
Filed under: uncultured Gammaproteobacteria bacterium
Lineage: Bacteria; Pseudomonadati; Pseudomonadota; Gammaproteobacteria
Description: bacterial SSU rRNA
Rfam family: Bacterial small subunit ribosomal RNA
Source: RNAcentral
AAUGGGCGCAAGCCUGAUGCAGCCAUGCCGCGUGUGUGAUGAAGGCCUUAGGGUUGUAAAACACUUUCAUCGGUGAAGAUAAUGACGGUAGCCGAAGAAGAAGCCCCGGCUAACUCCGUGCCAGCAGCCGCGGUAAUACGGAGGGGGCAAGCGUUGUUCGGAAUUACUGGGCGUAAAGCGCACGUAGGCGGACUGAUCAGUUGGGGGUGAAAUCCCGAGGCUUAACCUCGGAACUGCCUUCAAUACCGUCAGUCUUGAGAUCGGAAGAGGUGAGUGGAAUUCCUAGUGUAGAGGUGAAAUUCGUAGAUAUUAGGAAGAACACCAGUGGCGAAGGCGGCUCACUGGUCCGAUACUGACGCUGAGGUGCGAAAGCGUGGGGAGCGAACAGGAUU